GUCGUUUGACGUGUUUCGGACUAAAAGUGGGAAGUUUGAAAAUUUUGAACUUAGGAAUGAAAAUCAUGAGUUUUGGGGGUUGAUUUUGAUGUUAUUUUGGCGAUUUGAUCGCUCGAGCAAGUUCAUAGGAUGAUAUUGAGUUAGUGUGUGCAUUAUGUUGGGAGCCCCGAGGGCUUGAGGGUGAUUUUGGGGUGUCUCGGAGUGUUUUGAAACUUAG
Molecule: long non-coding RNA, 217 nt
Filed under: Nicotiana benthamiana
Lineage: Eukaryota; Viridiplantae; Streptophyta; Magnoliopsida; Solanales; Solanaceae
Description: long non-coding RNA (NBEN_LNC040198)
Source: RNAcentral